AAUAUGUAUAGAUUAUCGGGUUUUCUACACAUUGAUAUCGUAAAAUAUCAGCCGCGAGCCACAAUGUGAACCUUUUUGGCGAGUGAGCGUAGCGAACGAGCUAAAAAGUUUCACAUUGUGUCGAGCGGCUGAUAUUUUACGAUAUCUAUACGAAGAAAACCCGAUUAUCUUUUUAUCGUUCUGUUACUGGUCGUUUCUUUCUCCCUAAGACAGUUUUACGCUUGACAAAAGCAAGCUUGAUAACGUCUCCUCUCGCAUUGUGACGUCGCUGAUAACUUCUCCUCUCACAUUGUGACGUCGCUGAUAAUGCCUGGUCUCGUUUUGAAGUCUUGAUACGAGAAUUACGGAGCAACAGAGCAGGGUGAUAUAGGCGGAGGGAAGGACGAUAAGUCUUGAUUGAGGUAAGCAAUCUCAAUUGAUAUUUUAUAGUGUGUCUUUCUAUGUUGUGAUGUAACAC
RNAcentral lists this long non-coding RNA (457 nucleotides) under Mytilus galloprovincialis (Mediterranean mussel). Lineage: Eukaryota; Metazoa; Mollusca; Bivalvia; Mytilida; Mytilidae. The record is from RNAcentral.